AACGAACGCUGGCGGCAUGCCUAACACAUGCAAGUCGAACGAGACCUUCGGGUCUAGUGGCGCACGGGUGCGUAACGCGUGGGAACCUGCCCUUAGGUUCGGAAUAACUCCCCGAAAGGGGUGCUAAUACCGGAUAAUCUCUUCGGACCAAAGAUCUAUCGCCUUUGGAUGGGCCCGCGUUGGAUUAGCUAGUUGGUAGGGUAAAAGCCUACCAAGGCGACGAUCCAUAGCUGGUCUGAGAGGAUGAUCAGCAACACUGGGACUGAGACACGGCCCAGACGCGUACGGGAGGCAGCAGUGGGGAAUAUUGGACAAUGGGCGAAAGGCUGAUCCAGCAAUGCCGCGUGAGUGAUGAAGGCCUUAGGGUUGUAAAGCUCUUUUACCCGGGAUGAUAAUGACAGUACCGGGAGAAUAAGCUCCGGCUAACUCCGUG
RNAcentral lists this ribosomal RNA (433 nucleotides) under uncultured bacterium. RNAcentral's name for it is "partial 16S ribosomal RNA". It matches the Rfam family "Bacterial small subunit ribosomal RNA", at positions 29 to 507 of the family's 1533-position model. The record is from RNAcentral.